CCCAGCCAGGCGGACAGCAGGCUCUGCACCGUCAGCCCCGCCGACCGCACCUCGUCGGGCGGGAACACGAAGCACACGGCGAACACCAGAGAAAGGUGGAGAUUGUAUAACUGGAAAAGCACGGCAGAGAAAGCAGCAUGUGAUGUUAUACGCUACUAAUGAUGGCAAACCAAGUCAAUAGUAGAUACCACCCAUGGAGUGUGACAUCCUAACGCUGGCAGAUGACUGAUGUGCAACUGCUGUGAUGGAGAUCGGGAAUUCAUGGUGGUUUAGUGACUCUUGAUGGUUAUAUCAAUAAAAUCAUGCUUGGAUUCUGUGCAUCUUACUUCAUUCUAAAAGACAUCCUUGUUAACAACUCUAUUAAACAGUCAUUUCAUUGUUGCUGUCUGGUGACUCACCAGUAAGGACUGUUUAAAUGUUCGUGAAGCCCAGUAAUAAAACACGGCCUGUUGAAGCA
This is a non-coding RNA of Taeniopygia guttata (zebra finch), 457 nucleotides long. NCBI's taxonomy places the organism in Eukaryota, Metazoa, Chordata, Aves, Passeriformes, Estrildidae. The record is from RefSeq and is a predicted model, not a curated record.